RNAcentral lists this ribosomal RNA (3183 nucleotides) under Oligophagozyma castellii. RNAcentral's name for it is "[Candida] castellii 21S ribosomal RNA". It matches the Rfam family "Bacterial large subunit ribosomal RNA". The record is from RNAcentral. Lineage: Eukaryota; Fungi; Ascomycota; Saccharomycetes; Saccharomycetales; Saccharomycetaceae.
UAUAAGUAACAUUUAAUAUUAAUAUUAUAAUUGAUUUGAAAUAAUUAUUAUAUAGAUUUAAAGAAAUAAUCAUGGAAUAUAAUAUUUAUUAUAUAAUAUAAUAAAUAGCUAUUAAUAGUAAAUAAGGUUACUAAUAAAAUAAUUAUAUUAAUUAUUUUUAAUACCUAAAGGAAACUUAAUAUAUUAUCUAUAUAUAUUUAUAUAUAUAUAUAUAAUUAUGAAUUAUACUAAGUGAAUUGAAAUAUCUUAUUUAACUUAAGGAAUAAAAAUCAACCGAGAUAUUAUGAGUAUUGAUGAGAGAAAAUAAUAAAGUCUAUUAAGUAUUAUGUAUUAACAUAUGUAAGAAUAUUGGAUUAACAAAUUCAAAGACUAAAUACUAUUAAUAAGCAUAAAUAGUACCGUGAGGGAAUAUAUGUAAAUGGUUAUUUUAUAAGCAAUCAUAGAUUUAUAAAUUAAAUUAAUGAUGUACCUUUUGUAUAAUGGGUCAGCAAGUAAUUAAUAUUAGCAACAAAUUAAUAAUUUAUAAAUAAAUUGAUAAUAUAUAUAUAUAUUUAACAAUAUAUUAUAGUUAAUAUUAAUUGACCCGAAAGCAAAUGAUCUUUCCAUGACAAGAUGUUUACGAUCGAAUAGGUUGAUGUUGCAAUAUCAUCUAAUUAGUUGUGGAAUGUUAUGAAAGAUAAAUCUGAUUUGCAGAUAGCUGGUUUUCUAUGAAAUAUAUAUUAGUAUAGUUUUAUAUAUAAAUAAUUAUUAAUUAAUAAUUAAUUAUUUAUAAUUAAUUAUUAAUUAUUGAAUGGUACAGCAAUUAAUAUAUAUUAGGGAAUUUUAAUAAUUUUAUUAAUAAUAUUUAAUCUCGAAAUAUUUAAUUAUUUAAUAUAAAAAUCAGAUUAUGUGCGAUAAGGUAAAUAAUCUAAAGGGAAACAGCCCAGAUUAAUAUAUAAAGUUCCUAAUUUAUUUAUUAAUAAUUUAUUAAUAAAUAUCAUAAUAAGUGAAAUUAAUAUUAAAAUAUUAUUAUAUAAUCAGUUAAUGGGUUUGACAAUAACCAUUUUUUAAUGAACAUGUAACAAUGCACUGAUUUAAAUUAAAAUUUAAUUAAAUUAUAUUAAUUAUUAAUUAUAAUUAAUAUUAUAAAAAUAAUAUUAUAUUAUUAUAAUAUUAUAUAAUAUUUAAAAUUAUAAAUAUAUAUUAUAUAUAUAUUUAUAUUAAUAGAUAAUAUACGGAUCUUAUAAUUAUGAAACUGAAUAUUUAAAUAUUAUAAUUAAUUAAAUAAUAAUUAUAAUAUGGUAAUAGAACAUCUAAUGAAUUAUAUUAAUUUAUUAAAUUAAUAUUAUAAAAAAUUAGAUAGAGAAUGCUGACAUGAGUAACGUUAAAAAGGUAAACAAGCCUUUUCACCUAAAGCAUAAGGUAUUACUAUAAAAGUACGGCCCCUAAUUUAAAUAUAUAAUUAUAUUAAAGAUGGGAUAAUUCUAUUAAUAAUAAAAUUAUUUAAUAUAUAUAUAUAUUAUUAUAUAUAUAUAAAUUAUAAAUAAUCAAGAAAAAUUUAUUAACUAUUGUUACCGUAAUGUAGACCGACUCAGGUAUGCUAGUAGAGAAUAUGAAGGUGUAUUAGAUAACUACAGAGAAGGAACUCGGCAAAGAUAGCUCUAACGUUAGUCAAUAAAGAGAUAUAAAAACAAGGUUGCACAACUGUUUACUAAAAACACCGCACUUUGCAAAAACUAAAGUUAUAGUAUAAGGUGUGAACUCUGCUCCAUGUUCAAGAUAUAAAAUAUAUUAUUAUUAUGAUAAUAUAUAUAAUAUUGAAUAAAUAGCAGCCUUAUCAUGAGGGUUAUAAUGUAGCGAAAUUCAUUGUCCACUAAAUAUGGUCCCGCAUGAAUGACGUAAUGAUGCAACAACUGUCUCCUCUGUAGGCUAAGUGAAAUUGAAUUAGCAGUGAAGAUGCUGUUUAAGUGUAGAUAGACAAAAAGACCCUAUGCAGCUUUACUAUAAUUAGAUAGAUCGAUUAUAUAUAUAUUAUAUUCAGUAUAUUAAGUAAUUAUUAUAAUAUUUAAUUAUUAUUAUAAUAAUAAUCGAUUAGAUAUUAAUGAGAUACUUAUUUUAAUAUAUUAUAUAAUCUAAUCUUUAAUUAUUAAUAUUUAAUAGAUUAAUUCUUAAAUAUUAUAUUUAUAUUAAUUUAUAAAUAAUAAAAGAGACAAUCUCUAAUUGGUAGUUUUGAUGGGGCGUCAUUUUCAGCAAAAGUAUCUGAAAAAUUCAUAUAUAUUAUUAUAAUUUUAUAAUAAAUUUAAUAUAUAUUAAGUAUAUUAAUUAUUAAAAAUAAUAUAUUAUUAUUUAAUAAUAAUAUAUUAUUAUAAUAGAAUAAAUUAAGUAUAGUAAAAUUGUCUAGAAAACAAUAAUUAAUAUUAUAUUUAUAGAAUAUAAUAUAUUAAAUUAAUAUAAUGGUAUAACUAUGCUAUAAUUAUAACACAAACAAGUGAAAUAAGUACGUAAUGUAUGACAUAAUGAACAAAUAAUACUGAUUGUAAAGAUUAUUGAUAAUGAAUAAAAGUUACGCUAGGGAUAACAGGCUAAUAUAACGAAAGAGUAGAAAUUGUAAGUUAUGUUUGGCACCUCGAUGUCGACUCUAUUUGUCCUCUUGGUUGUAACAGCUAAGAAGGGUUUGACUGUUCGUCAAUUAAAAAAUAACGUGAGUUGGGUUAAAUACGACGUGAGUCAGUAUGGUUUUUAUCUUCUACACUAAAUAUUAUCUUAUUAAAUCUCAUUAUUAGUACGCAAGGACCAUAAUGAAUUAACCUAUGGUGCAUAUAUUGAUUAUAUAUAUAAAUUAUAUAUAUAUUAUAUAUAUAUAAUUUAUAAUUAUAUUAAUUUAUAUACUUAUUAUUAUAUAUAAUAAGAUUAUAUAGUCAUUGUAUAGAAGCUAAGUUAAUAAAUAAUAAAUAUUGAAUACAUAUCAAAUAUGAAGUAGUUUUAAGAAGAUAAAUAUACAAAAAUAUUAUUUUGUAAUAACUAAUAAUUUUAUAUUAAAAUUUUAAUAGGUUUUAUAUAAUAUAUAUAAAAUAUCCAAUAUACUUGGAUAUCAAUAUAAUUAAUAUUAUAUUGAUACUAAUUUAUUAGUAAUCUAUAUUAAUAUCUAAUCAAUUAUUUAUAUUAAUAUUAAAUGGUUUAAUAUAUAUAAUAAUAAUAAUAAUA